Molecule: ribosomal RNA, 643 nt
Filed under: uncultured Burkholderia sp.
Lineage: Bacteria; Pseudomonadati; Pseudomonadota; Betaproteobacteria; Burkholderiales; Burkholderiaceae
Description: bacterial SSU rRNA
Rfam family: Bacterial small subunit ribosomal RNA
Source: RNAcentral
CGGCAGCACGGGGGCAACCCUGGUGGCGAGUGGCGAACGGGUGAGUAAUACAUCGGAACGUGUCCUGUAGUGGGGGAUAGCCCGGCGAAAGCCGGAUUAAUACCGCAUACGCUCUACGGAGGAAAGGGGGGGAUCGCAAGACCUCCCGCUACAGGGGCGGCCGAUGGCAGAUUAGCUAGUUGGUGGGGUAAAGGCCUACCAAGGCGACGAUCUGUAGCUGGUCUGAGAGGACGACCAGCCACACUGGGACUGAGACACGGCCCAGACUCCUACGGGAGGCAGCAGUGGGGAAUUUUGGACAAUGGGCGAAAGCCUGAUCCAGCAAUGCCGCGUGUGUGAAGAAGGCCUUCGGGUUGUAAAGCACUUUUGUCCGGAAAGAAAACGUCGUGGUUAAUACCCGUGGCGGAUGACGGUACCGGAAGAAUAAGCACCGGCUAACUACGUGCCAGCAGCCGCGGUAAUACGUAGGGUGCAAGCGUUAAUCGGAAUUACUGGGCGUAAAGCGUGCGCAGGCGGUUCGCUAAGACAGAUGUGAAAUCCCCGGGCUUAACCUGGGAACUGCAUUUGUGACUGGCGGGCUAGAGUAUGGCAGAGGGGGGUAGAAUUCCACGUGUAGCAGUGAAAUGCGUAGAGAUGUGGAGGA